UCGGGUAAUCUUCUUGGGCGCUAAAUCCACAGCCCGACAGAUGCACAAUUGUGGUGUCCGCUCGAUCACCUGACAGCAGCGAGAAAGAGGCGGCUUCUCGGAGGAACUGGGUAAGGAGGUCGACGAGAGGAAGGUAUGGAACAGCUGAGGUGCGAGUGAGAUAUUGGCUGUAGUCAGCGACUGCUGGUGGCACUAGCCAAGACGAUGACCUACUCCCUCGUACUUCCUCCGAAGUAAUAAUCCCCUAUCAAUUUUUAUAGAGGUGGCAUUGUCAGACGUUGCUGGACAAAAUAUGCUAUGAUGGUUUUGAGAAUAUCAAAGUUCUCUGCAGUUGUUGCAGAAAUACAUGCUAUGCUUUGGAUGAAAGACUAUUGUGUCUCUCAAUGGAAACAAGCCAGAUAUCUAGGUAUGUCUUCAAAAUUGCAUGGUGUGGAUACAUUAUGAGUGAGAUGAUAAUGCAAACACAUACCACUUCAAGAAGUGAGUUUGGCCAUAAAUAAUGCAACCUUUUGAGGGAGAACUAUCUUCGAGAAAUGAGUUUGGUCAGGCUGUCGCUUAGUUGGAUUUUUUUUUUUUUGAAGCUUAGUUGGAAUCUUUACCUGAAUCACCCAAAAUAUGAUAUUGAAGAGAACUUUGUACACAUCUACCUGAUAUGUGCAUAUUUCAAAAGUUGAUUCUUUCACUUGGUUUACUUCAUCAUUCAUAUGCAUAAAUGAUGUAAGGGAGAUAAAUGGACAAUCCUAGACUGUUUAGCUGAC
Long non-coding RNA from Lolium rigidum, 758 nucleotides. RefSeq lists it as uncharacterized. The transcript has 3 exons. The record is from RefSeq and is a predicted model, not a curated record. NCBI's taxonomy places the organism in Eukaryota, Viridiplantae, Streptophyta, Magnoliopsida, Poales, Poaceae.